GUCCAGAGUAGCUUAACAUUAAAGCAGAGCACUGAAGCUGCUCAAAUGGUUUUCUCAACCCCUUGACA
This is a non-coding RNA of Petromyzon marinus (sea lamprey), 68 nucleotides long. NCBI's taxonomy places the organism in Eukaryota, Metazoa, Chordata, Hyperoartia, Petromyzontiformes, Petromyzontidae. The record is from Ensembl.